UACGUAGGUGGCAAGCGUUGUCCGGAUUUACUGGGCGUAAAGAGCGCGCAGGCGGUCGUAUAAGUCGAAUGUGAAAGCCCCUGGCUCAACUAGGGAGAGUCAUUCGAUACUGUUCGACUCGAAGGCAGGAGAGGGAAGUGGAAUUCCGGGUGUAGCAGUGAAAUGCGUAGAUAUCAGGAGGAAUACCGAUGGCGAAGGCAGGUCUCUGGGCUGACACUGACGCUCAUGCACGAAAGCGUGGGGAGCAAACAGG
This 253-nucleotide ribosomal RNA is filed under the name uncultured bacterium. RNAcentral describes it as "partial 16S ribosomal RNA". It matches the Rfam family "Bacterial small subunit ribosomal RNA", at positions 524 to 776 of the family's 1533-position model. The record is from RNAcentral.